RNAcentral lists this ribosomal RNA (857 nucleotides) under uncultured organism. RNAcentral describes it as "bacterial SSU rRNA". It matches the Rfam family "Bacterial small subunit ribosomal RNA", at positions 58 to 905 of the family's 1533-position model. The record is from RNAcentral.
CAAGUCGAACGAGAAAGCACCUUCGGGUGUGAGUAGAGUGGCGCACGGGUGAGUAAUGGAUAGGAACGUGCCUUUGGGAGGGGGAUAACCACAGGAAACUGUGGCUAAUACCGCAUGGUCUCGCAAGAGUAAAGGUGGCUUCUACUUGUAAGCUACCACCCAAAGAUCGGCCUAUCUCCCAUUAGCUUGUUGGUGAGGUAACGGCUCACCAAGGCAACGAUGGGUAGCUGGUCUGAGAGGAUGAUCAGCCACACUGGGACUGAGACACGGCCCAGACUCCUACGGGAGGCAGCAGUGGGGAAUUUUGCACAAUGGGCGCAAGCCUGAUGCAGCAACGCCGCGUGAAUGAAGAAGGCCCUUGGGUUGUAAAGUUCUUUCGGCUAGGAAGCAGGGACUCAGUGAAAAUAUUGCUGGGUUCUGACGGUACUAGAAGAAGAAGCACCGGCUAACUCCGUGCCAGCAGCCGCGGUAAUACGGAGGGUGCAAGCGUUGUUCGGAAUGACUGGGCGUAAAGAGCACGUAGGCGGGCUAGUAAGUCAAUUGUGAAAGCCCAGAGCUUAACUUUGGAAUUGCAGUUGAAACUGCUAGUCUUGGAUACCUGAGAGGGUGGGAGAAUUCCUGGUGUAGAUGUGAAAUUCGUAGAUAUCAGGAGGAAUAUCCGAGGCGAAGGCGCCUGCCUGGCAGUGUAUUGACGCUGAGGUGCGAAAGCGUGGGUAGCAAACAGGAUUAGAUACCCUGGUAGUCCACGCCGUAAACGAUGGAUACUAGGUGUUUUCGGAGCGUUAACCCUCUGAGUACCGGAGCUAACGCAUUAAGUAUCCCGCCUGGGGAGUACGGUCGCAAGGCUAAAACUCAAA